This is a long non-coding RNA of Lates calcarifer (barramundi perch), 4481 nucleotides long. RefSeq lists it as uncharacterized. The transcript is spliced from 4 exons. The record is from RefSeq and is a predicted model, not a curated record. NCBI's taxonomy places the organism in Eukaryota, Metazoa, Chordata, Actinopteri, Centropomidae.
AUCAGGGGUUGCUAAGCGGAAAAGAAUCAGGAGGCCAUAUUGGCGUUUUUUUCUGCCGUUGAUCGCUUGCGAGUGUUGUCAUUGGCUGCGUCGUGUGUCGUCACCGGUCAUGACCCUUUGGGAGGAGCGUAGCGCAGAGAGGCGGAGAAACGAGGCCGGGAAACAGAUUUAAACCAGCGGUUGAGGCGUUGCCUCGGUUUGUCAGCACUGUGAGAGAACUUACUUACGGAAGAAGCCUGGAUGUUAAAACGAGCUUUGAAGCAGCUUUUUUGUCGCACACGAGUGAGGCUGGACGUUUAACACACCUGCGGCGCGAAGGUGUCACCACAUCGUCCACGAUCGCAGAGACAUGGUCCAUGAUCGGAGAGACAUUGUUGAGGAUGAGGGAGACAUCGUCCAUGAUCAGAGACAUUGUCCAUGAUCGCAGAGACCUUGUCAAAGAUGAGAGAGACGUUGUCCGUGAUCAGAGACAUUGUCCCAUGCUUCGUAGAGACCUUGCGAUAGAAUCGGCGGAGACGGGGGUCACCGAUUUGACGGCACUGCCCGCGAUCAUGGGAACAUUGUCGAUGGUCACAGAGACACCGUCUAUGAUCUCAGAGACAUCGUCCACGAUCACAAAGACAUUGACCAUGAUCGCAGAGACUUUGUCCAUAAUCUCAGAGACAUUGUCCGCGAUCAAAGAGACGUAGUCCACGAUCACAGAGAGUCUUUGUACAAUGAAGUUCUUUGAGACCAGGACAGAGGCCUCCAGGUAAUUCACAAACAAUUUUACAUCAACUGUCCAACACAGAGCACUGACAUUAAAGUGUUUAUGUUCAGUAUUCGGUAUAUCAGUAUUUAAUUUUCUGGAACAGCCCUCUAAUGUUUGAAAAGUAUUCUGGUUCAGCUGUAAUGUUGAAUAUUUCUCUGUGUUUUUAUGGUUGAACUGUUGAUGAGAAAUAGAUAGUAGUGUAUUGAUCAUUUUCCUUUGUAUGGUCCUCUUUGAUUUCCUCCAGGUGUCACCACUUUAUCCACAACAUCGUCCACGAUCGCAGAGACUUCGUCCAUGAUCGGAGAGACAUUGUUGAGGAUGAGGGAGACAUCGUCCAUGAUCAGAGACAUUGUCCAUGAUCGCAGAGACCUUGUCAAAGAUGAGAGAGACGUUGUCCGUGAUCAGAGACAUUGUCCCAUGCUUCGUAGAGACCUUGCGAUAGAAUCGGCGGAGACGGGGGUCACCGAUUUGACGGCACUGCCCGCGAUCAUGGAAACAUUUUUGAUGAUCACAGAGACACCGUCUAUGAUCUCAGAGACAUCGUCCACGAUCACAAAGACAUUGACCAUGAUCGCAGAGACUUUGUCCAUAAUCUCAGAGACAUUGUCCGCGAUCAAAGAGACGUAGUCCACGAUCACAGAGAGUCUUUGUACAAUGAAGUUCUUUGAGACCAGGACAGAGGCCUCCAGGUAAUUCACAAACAAUUUUACAUCAACUGUCCAACACAGAGCACUGACAUUAAAGUGUUUAUGUUCAGUAUUCGGUAUAUCAGUAUUUAAUUUUCUGGAACAGCCCUCUAAUGUUUGAAAAGUAUUCUGGUUCAGCUGUAAUGUUGAAUAUUUCUCUGUGUUUUUAUGGUUGAACUGUUGAUGAGAAAUAGAUAGUAGUGUAUUGAUCAUUUUCCUUUGUAUGGUCCUCUUUGAUUUCCUCCAGGUGUCACCACUUUAUCCACAACAUCGUCCACGAUCGCAGAGACUUCGUCCAUGAUCGGAGAGACAUUGUUGAGGAUGAGGGAGACAUCGUCCAUGAUCAGAGACAUUGUCCAUGAUCGCAGAGACCUUGUCAAAGAUGAGAGAGACGUUGUCCGUGAUCAGAGACAUUGUCCCAUGCUUCGUAGAGACCUUGCGAUAGAAUCGGCGGAGACGGGGGUCACCGAUUUGACGGCACUGCCCGCGAUCAUGGAAACAUUUUCGAUGAUCACAGAGACACCGUCUAUGAUCUCAGAGACAUCGUCCACGAUCACAAAGACAUUGACCAUGAUCGCAGAGACUUUGUCCAUAAUCUCAGAGACAUUGUCCGCGAUCAAAGAGACGUAGUCCACGAUCACAGAGAGUCUUUGUACAAUGAAGUUCUUUGAGACCAGGACAGAGGCCUCCAGGUAAUUCACAAACAAUUUUACAUCAACUGUCCAACACAGAGCACUGACAUUAAAGUGUUUAUGUUCAGUAUUCGGUAUAUCAGUAUUUAAUUUUCUGGAACAGCCCUCUAAUGUUUGAAAAGUAUUCUGGUUCAGCUGUAAUGUUGAAUAUUUCUCUGUGUUUUUAUGGUUGAACUGUUGAUGAGAAAUAGAUAGUAGUGUAUUGAUCAUUUUCCUUUGUAUGGUCCUCUUUGAUUUCCUCCAGGUGUCACCACUUUAUCCACAACAUCGUCCACGAUCGCAGAGACUUCGUCCAUGAUCGGAGAGACAUUGUUGAGGAUGAGGGAGACAUCGUCCAUGAUCAGAGACAUUGUCCAUGAUCGCAGAGACCUUGUCAAAGAUGAGAGAGACGUUGUCCGUGAUCAGAGACAUUGUCCCAUGCUUCGUAGAGACCUUGCGAUAGAAUCGGCGGAGACGGGGGUCACCGAUUUGACGGCACUGCCCGCGAUCAUGGAAACAUUUUUGAUGAUCACAGAGACACCGUCUAUGAUCUCAGAGACAUCGUCCACGAUCACAAAGACAUUGACCAUGAUCGCAGAGACUUUGUCCAUAAUCUCAGAGACAUUGUCCGCGAUCAAAGAGACGUAGUCCACGAUCACAGAGAGUCUUUGUACAAUGAAGUUCUUUGAGACCAGGACAGAGGCCUCCAGGUAAUUCACAAACAAUUUUACAUCAACUGUCCAACACAGAGCACUGACAUUAAAGUGUUUAUGUUCAGUAUUCGGUAUAUCAGUAUUUAAUUUUCUGGAACAGCCCUCUAAUGUUUGAAAAGUAUUCUGGUUCAGCUGUAAUGUUGAAUAUUUCUCUGUGUUUUUAUGGUUGAACUGUUGAUGAGAAAUAGAUAGUAGUGUAUUGAUCAUUUUCCUUUGUAUGGUCCUCUUUGAUUUCCUCCAGGUGUCACCACUUUAUCCACAACAUCGUCCACGAUCGCAGAGACUUCGUCCAUGAUCGGAGAGACAUUGUUGAGGAUGAGGGAGACAUCGUCCAUGAUCAGAGACAUUGUCCAUGAUCGCAGAGACCUUGUCAAAGAUGAGAGAGACGUUGUCCGUGAUCAGAGACAUUGUCCCAUGCUUCGUAGAGACCUUGCGAUAGAAUCGGCGGAGACGGGGGUCACCGAUUUGACGGCACUGCCCGCGAUCAUGGAAACAUUUUUGAUGGUCACAGAGACACCGUCUAUGAUCUCAGAGACAUCGUCCACGAUCACAAAGACAUUGACCAUGAUCGCAGAGACUUUGUCCAUAAUCUCAGAGACAUUGUCCGCGAUCAAAGAGACGUAGUCCACGAUCACAGAAAGUCUUUGUACAAUGAAGUUCUUUGAGACCAGGACAGAGGCCUCCAGCUGAAUUCAGGGAACGGAAUCCACUAAAGGUGAAGGAGAUGACAGCAGCUGAAGACCUGAAGUGGAUGAAAGAAACAAAAGUGUUACAAAGCUGUUAAUUAGAUAAAAGACUAUUAAACACCUGUGAGAAUAUUUAACUGCUUAUGAUACAACUAUUUAAUUAAUGAUUCUAUCACAAGCAGUUAAAUGAUCACAUAGAUGCUCAGUAGACAUGUUCAUCUUUGGAAAAUGUGCUCAUAACUACAUUAACUCUAACCAGCAGUAACAAGUGUUUCCUUGUGUUCAACUGUCUGUCAUUAUCUUUGCUCUUUACUAAAUGUUGUAUGGAAUAAAAGUUUCUUCCUAAACUUUUGAGUUGCAUUUCUGUAUUUUGAAACUGAUAUACAAAUCAUUCUAUUGCAUUUUAAGAAAAAUGUUGUGAUUCAAACUUUUUGACAAUAAUUUUCCUAAGGUUUUAUAUUUAACUUCUUUAACACUCCUUAUUCAGAUAGUUUCAUAUUUACAUUUAAAACUAAACAUAUGUUUCAAAAGUUUUAAAUCUAUUUUUACAAGCUUUAUACUUUUUUAGACUUAUUUUUUAAGGUUGUAAAUAUAUAUAUAUUUUAGAUCUAUUUAUUUAAGGUUUUCAAUGUAUUUUUAAAUGAUUUUAUACUUUCUUUUUAGAUCUAUUUAUUUAAGGUUUUCAAUGUAUUUCUUAAAGGUUUUAUAUUUAUUUUAACAAAGGUUUCACAUUUAAUUUUUGUACAUUUUAUACUUAGUUUUUAGACAUUUUUUGAAUGCCUUAUACUUAAUACUUCAAUUUAUUUAUUAAAAGGGUUUCUAUUCUAAACUAAGGAUUAUAUAUAUAUUUAUAGUUAAACAUAGUUUUUAGUCUUAUCUUUGCAGCUACAUUGUUGGAAAAACGUAAUACUAAUUAAAACUGAUGUUACAGCAGCUUUAAUUUGUUGCUAUUUGUUCCAGACAAAGUUUUAAAG